This 466-nucleotide ribosomal RNA is filed under the name uncultured bacterium. RNAcentral describes it as "partial 16S ribosomal RNA". It matches the Rfam family "Bacterial small subunit ribosomal RNA", at positions 28 to 506 of the family's 1533-position model. The record is from RNAcentral.
GAUGAACGCUGGCGGCGUGCUUAACACAUGCAAGUCGAACGGAAAGGCCCAAGCUUUCUUGGGUACUCGAGUGGCGAACGGGUGGGUAACAAGGGGGUGGUCUGCCCUGCACUUUGGGAUAAGCCGGGGGAACUGGGUCUAGUACCGGAUUGGUCCUCAUUUUGGAUGGUGUGGUUUAAAGUUUUUUUGGUGGGGAAGAGGUCGUGCCCUUUAAGCUGUUUGGGGGGGUAAUAGCCUACCAAGGCGGCGACGGGUAGCCGGCCUGAGAGGGUGUACGGCGAAAUUGGGACUGAGAAAAGGCCCAGAAGCCUACGGGGGGCAGCAGUGGGGAAUAUUGCACAAUGGGGGCAAGCCUGAUGCAGCGACGCCGCGUGGGGGAUGACGGACUUCGGGUUGUAAACUCCUUUCGCUAGGGACGAAGCGUUUUUGUGACGGUACCUGGAGAAGAAGCACCGGCUAACUACGU